CUGGCGACACCCAAAGUGAAGGGCGGCAUGGGGUUCCGUGACAUGCAUGUGUUCAACCUCGCAAUGCUCGGGAAAAAUGGCUGGCGUCUUCUCACAAAACUGGAGUCUUUAUGCGCGCGAGUGCUGAAGGGCAAAUAUUAUCCACAUACUGACUUUCUCAAUGCGAGUGCUCCUUCUCGAGCCUCGGCUACGUGGAAGGCUAUUAUUGCGGGAAGAAAGGCUCUAGAUGUUGGGCUAAUCAAAAGAGUUGGAGACGAUUCUACUAUCUGCACUUGGAUAGAUCCCUGGAUCCUUGGCAAUCUUUCUCUAAAACCGAUGAGUCGCAUUGGCUCUUCCCCACUGGCCACGGUCUCAGAGUUGAUAGAUGACUAUACAGGCAACUGGAAUGUGGAAAUCAUUCAAGCAAAUUUCUUGCCACAGGAUGUUGAAGCUAUCCUCAAUAUACCCCUAAAUAGCGACGGUGGCGAAGAUUUUCUGGCAUGGGCCUUAGAGAAAUCCGUUAACUACUCUGUAAAAUCCGUGUAUCGCUCUCUUGUGACUCAGAACGAGCACCACGCUCUAGAGGAAGGGACGAUUACAGAAGCUUCAUCAACUAACAAACAAAUGUGGAAUGCCCUAUGA
RNAcentral lists this ribosomal RNA (621 nucleotides) under Triticum aestivum (bread wheat). RNAcentral's name for it is "partial small subunit ribosomal RNA". Lineage: Eukaryota; Viridiplantae; Streptophyta; Magnoliopsida; Poales; Poaceae. The record is from RNAcentral.